This 878-nucleotide ribosomal RNA is filed under the name Geobacillus lituanicus. RNAcentral's name for it is "bacterial SSU rRNA". It matches the Rfam family "Bacterial small subunit ribosomal RNA", at positions 59 to 916 of the family's 1533-position model. The record is from RNAcentral. Lineage: Bacteria; Bacillati; Bacillota; Bacilli; Caryophanales; Anoxybacillaceae.
CAGUCGAGCGGACCGAAUUAGGGCUUGCUCUUGAUUUGGUCAGCGGCGGACGGGUGAGUAACACGUGGGCAACCUGCCCGCAAGACCGGGAUAACUCCGGGAAACCGGAGCUAAUACCGGAUAACACCGAAGACCGCAUGGUCUUCGGUUGAAAGGCGGCCUUUGGGCUGUCACUUGCGGAUGGGCCCGCGGCGCAUUAGCUAGUUGGUGAGGUAACGGCUCACCAAGGCGACGAUGCGUAGCCGGCCUGAGAGGGUGACCGGCCACACUGGGACUGAGACACGGCCCAGACUCCUACGGGAGGCAGCAGUAGGGAAUCUUCCGCAAUGGGCGAAAGCCUGACGGAGCGACGCCGCGUGAGCGAAGAAGGCCUUCGGGUCGUAAAGCUCUGUUGUGAGGGACGAAGGAGCGCCGUUCGAAGAGGGCGGCGCGGUGACGGUACCUCACGAGAAAGCCCCGGCUAACUACGUGCCAGCAGCCGCGGUAAUACGUAGGGGGCGAGCGUUGUCCGGAAUUAUUGGGCGUAAAGCGCGCGCAGGCGGUCUCUUAAGUCUGAUGUGAAAGCCCACGGCUCAACCGUGGAGGGUCAUUGGAAACUGGGGGACUUGAGGGCAGGAGAGGAGAGCGGAAUUCCACGUGUAGCGGUGAAAUGCGUAGAGAUGUGGAGGAACACCAGUGGCGAAGGCGGCUCUCUGGCCUGUACCUGACGCUGAGGCGCGAAAGCGUGGGGAGCAAACAUGAUUAGAUACCCUGGUAGUCCACGCCGUAAACGAUGAGUGCUAAGUGUUAGAGGGGUCACACCCCUUUAGUGCUGCAGCUAACGCGAUAGCACUUCCGCCUGGGGAGUACGGCCGCAGGCUGAACUCAAGAAUUGACGG